ACAUCGUUCCAUUUUUUUCUUAUUUGUGGCCCACAAAAAUAAUCCAGUCAUCGGGAUUUGACGUGUCCGGCCAAACGCCAUGUUGGCAUACAUGUGUAAUUAAUAAAAAGGAAAAAAAACUAAUGAAAAUCCACUAAGUCAAAAUCGCAUCUCUAGUGUUGAAGAAAAAAAACGUUUUCUUCAUUAACUUUCUAACUCUUCCCUCCUCUCCCAUCUCCUCCGCCGCCCAUUCCCCUCUCCCAUCUCAUCCGCUUUGCCUUUGAUCAAAAGUAGUUUAGGGAGAGUGAAGUGAAGCUAUAGGCGAUGGCACAAGGGCAGUUGUGAUUCCUCCAUGAAUCGAUGGAAGAAGACAGUGGCGGCGCUGGGAUGGCGACGACAGGUGUUGCUCGCUGUUCAUCCCCAUUCAAGAAAGAUGAUAGAGCCGCAGCGACAGAGGUCAUGCUUUGGCUGUUGCUCACUGGAAAUUGAACAAGAAGAAGGCUAGGAAUUUUAGAGAUUUCAUAAAUUGAAAAAUUUGUGGGUUCUGUGAGAGGGGGAACGAGAUGAGGGAUUUAGGGGAUCGAGAGUGGGAGAAGGUGAGGAAGGGGCAGGAGGUGGUCGGCGGCGACGAUGGCGUGCUUCCCAACCGAAAAUUUGAGAAGGAGUAGGAGAUAUUUUCUGCUCCAUGUGUGCGCGCGCGUGUUUUCUGAAUGGCGUCGAGUUUGAGUGUUUUCUGCCCAGUUCCCCUCAUCCCCAUGGAGGUCAUCGUCUUCAUCAUCUUCAGAGUUUUCUUGGAAUUUUUGGGGGGUGUUGAGGUAGAUUUGAGGGGGGCAGAUGUGGUGAUCCGGCAGCAGCAGUGGUGGGGAUAUCCGACAGGGGUAGCAAUGGGGAUUCGGCAGGGGCAGGUGUAGUGAUUGGAAUUUGUUUUUUUUUUUUUUUUUUAAUUCCACGUGUUCUUCCAACUUGUCAAUUUGCUGGAACACGUUAAAAUCCGGUCGUCGGAUUAUUUUUGUGGGCCACAAAUAAGAAAAACAUGAAACGAUGGGUAUUGUUUUGUAAA
Molecule: long non-coding RNA, 1039 nt
Organism: Salvia miltiorrhiza (redroot sage)
Lineage: Eukaryota; Viridiplantae; Streptophyta; Magnoliopsida; Lamiales; Lamiaceae
Exons: 2
Source: RefSeq, a predicted model, not a curated record